AUGAACGCUGGCGGCGUGCCUAAUACAUGCCAGUCGAGCGAACAGAUGAGGAGCUUGCUCCUCUGACGUUAGCGGCGGACGGGUGAGUAACACGUGGAUAACCUACCUAUAAGACUGGGAUAACUUCGGGAAACCGGAGCUAAUACCGGAUAAUAUAUUGAACCGCAUGGUUCAAUAGUGAAAGACGGUUUUGCUGUCACUUAUAGAUGGAUCCGCGCCGCAUUAGCUAGUUGGUAAGGUAACGGCUUACCAAGGCAACGAUGCGUAGCCGACCUGAGAGGGUGAUCGGCCACACUGGAACUGAGACACGGUCCAGACUCCUACGGGAGGCAGCAGUAGGGAAUCUUCCGCAAUGGGCGAAAGCCUGACGGAGCAACGCCGCGUGAGUGAUGAAGGUCUUCGGAUCGUAAAACUCUGUUAUUAGGGAAGAACAAAUGUGUAAGUAACUAUGCACGUCUUGACGGUACCUAAUCAGAAAGUCACGGCUAACUACGUG
RNAcentral lists this ribosomal RNA (496 nucleotides) under uncultured bacterium. RNAcentral's name for it is "partial 16S ribosomal RNA". It matches the Rfam family "Bacterial small subunit ribosomal RNA", at positions 29 to 507 of the family's 1533-position model. The record is from RNAcentral.